This 301-nucleotide ribosomal RNA is filed under the name uncultured bacterium. Its description in RNAcentral is "partial 16S ribosomal RNA". It matches the Rfam family "Bacterial small subunit ribosomal RNA", at positions 509 to 807 of the family's 1533-position model. The record is from RNAcentral.
CAGUCGCCGCGGUAAGACGAACCGUGCGAACGUUAUUCGGAAUUACUGGGCUUAAAGCGCGUGUAGGCGGGUCGGCACGUCGGUCGCUGAAAUCCCCCGUCUCAACCGGGGAAGUGGCGCCGAUACGGCCGGCCUGGAGGGGGGUAGGGGGGCCUGGAACUUCCGGUGGAGCGGUGAAAUGCGUUGAGAUCGGAAGGAACGCCCGUGGCGAAAGCGAGGCCCUGGACCCUUUCUGACGCUGAGACGCGAAAGCCAGGGGAGCGAACGGGAUUAGAUACCCCUGUAGUCCCUGUCUCUUAUA